UCCCCGCAAAAAAACAGCCGCUACCCACGAAGUUCACGAACACACGUCCCACGUCUCCAUCCUCGCAACCUCCUCGCCCCGAUCCAGUAUUCCCCGUCUCCCUCCUGGUCUCCCGAGAAAAAUCGGUCGCCGCUCGUCUGCAUCAUGGCCGCGGAUGAAGCUUCUUCAUUCCCCUACAAGCUGCUAGCUCCACCUCUGCCAACACCACAGUCGCCGCUUCAAUGGGCUUGUACUCUGAGUCAGAUCACGAGUUUGAUGAGGGCCUCAACCUGGUCCGCCGUUCAUGUAUCAUCACGAGCGACGCGGUUGUGCAUAGCUCUUCUCCUACCUUGAUGCCGCUGGGAUCCACAACCCGGCGGAAAGGAGUAGCAGCGCCAUGCACAGGUUGGACCACUCCCGGAUCCGGGGCCGCUUGCACAGCCAGGACGGGCUGACCACUGUGGGCAUCUUCCUCCACCACUUGUGAUGAGUGGCCGAGCCAUGGAGCGGAGGCGACAGGGAGUAUUGACUAUCUGAUCGAGGAGGCCAAGGUGCGCAUCGUGGCCUGGGCCUCUGCAUCUCCACCGUCUCCCUUCCCCGUUAGAUUGCUUUGGUUGGAAUUGGAUCCUCAUGUAGUUUCAUGCUGAUUUGAGCUAAGCACUAGGGGUUUUUCUGCGAGGAUGUAUUCGGGAGAUAUUUUUGGGUGGCUGCUACUGGAUGCAGUUGUUGAGAGGUGGUGCAGAUAUUGAAGGAGUCUCAACAUUGAUGGUUACUUGCUGCCGAGAUUUGUGAAAUACUUAAGAACUACAAGAAUUUUCAUACAGAUCCAUUUUAGGCAAACGGAUGGAGUGCUUUGUUUUUGUAUCAUACAUUUUUAAUGGCUUAGAUCGAGUUCGUCCUCCGCCACACUGACCACGACCCAAUGACAUGGUAGUGGAGACGGCGACAGAUGUCAAGGAGGAGCAGAGAGUACAAGAAGCUAUACAACCUACUGAAGGCGAGGGAUUAUGAGAUAGAGCGAAUUAAGACAAAAUUUGGGUUGCCUUUCCUCAUGACCGCAGUGCACCACUGUGUGCAUGUCACUCGGCCUCGAUUCAGUAGCAGGGGCAGAACAGCAGUGUGGCGGUGGCGAUGGGGAAUAACGUUUGACCUUAGUGACGGGUCACGGCAGCACACUGGUUCAAGAUAUGAGAAUUAGUGUUACUUCCUUUCUAUUCUUCUGCGGCUGGUGAUGGAUCUAUCAUUCUCCCUCUUAACUGUGAAUAAAUAUGGCAAAGUGGUAAUAUAAUAUACUUUUUUAUGA
This is a non-coding RNA of Aegilops tauschii subsp. strangulata, 1282 nucleotides long. The record is from RefSeq and is a predicted model, not a curated record. Lineage: Eukaryota; Viridiplantae; Streptophyta; Magnoliopsida; Poales; Poaceae.